Molecule: ribosomal RNA, 467 nt
Filed under: uncultured bacterium
Lineage: Bacteria
Description: partial 16S ribosomal RNA
Rfam family: Bacterial small subunit ribosomal RNA
Source: RNAcentral
GACGAACGCUGGCGGCGUGCUUAACACAUGCAAGUCGAACGGAAAGGCCCUGCUUUUGUGGGGUGCUCGAGUGGCGAACGGGUGAGUAACACGUGAGUAACCUGCCCUUGACUUUGGGAUAACUUCAGGAAACUGGGGCUAAUACCGGAUAGGAGCUCCUGCUGCAUGGUGGGGGUUGGAAAGUUUCGGCGGUUGGGGAUGGACUCGCGGCUUAUCAGCUUGUUGGUGGGGUAGUGGCUUACCAAGGCUUUGACGGGUAGCCGGCCGGAGAGGGUGAACGGCCAGCUACAGUGGGACUGAGACACGGCCCAAACUCGGACGGGAGGCGGGAGGAGGGAAGCAUGCGGGAGGGGCGAAAGACGGACGAACCCAGGCGGCGGGAAGGAGGAAUUUGGGUGGAAAGCAGAUUUCGUUUGUCGGGGACGAUAAUGACGGUAACCGGAGAAGAAGCCCCGGCUAACUUCGUG